Long non-coding RNA from Mauremys reevesii (Reeves's turtle), 395 nucleotides. RefSeq lists it as uncharacterized. NCBI's taxonomy places the organism in Eukaryota, Metazoa, Chordata, Testudines, Geoemydidae. The record is from RefSeq and is a predicted model, not a curated record. The transcript has 3 exons.
AUCAGUACUGUCCAGUUUCAUAUGCUCCCAAGUGCUGGAGCACCUUCCACAUGAGUGGACUGGGGAUAGCAACCAGGGCAGGUGCCAGAUGCCAGUGACGCUAUUCCCAAUUUACACUUCUGCUAAGUGGGAAAACGGGUUCACCCUGACCUCUGCUUCCAUCCAUCCCCCUCGAAAUCUGGGACUCCCUUCAAGCAACUUGAGCCCAUCUUAUGGCACUCAGGAUAACUGCAUAGAUUCCACCACUGUUUGUGAUUGCCUGCAGAUGCCCUAAGUAUAUGGAGGUCCUGUCAAAACAGCAGCUAGUGAUGGUGGUCAGUAGGUAGAUGUUUUAUCUUUAAUAUUUUGGUGACAUGCUAUUUUAUAUAUAAAUGUAAUCAGAGCCCAUUAUUCCC